This 404-nucleotide ribosomal RNA is filed under the name Fusobacteriota bacterium. RNAcentral describes it as "Fusobacteria bacterium partial 16S ribosomal RNA". It matches the Rfam family "Bacterial small subunit ribosomal RNA", at positions 355 to 776 of the family's 1533-position model. Lineage: Bacteria; Fusobacteriati; Fusobacteriota. The record is from RNAcentral.
UGGGGAAUAUUGCACAAUGGGCGAAAGCCUGAUGCAGCGACGCCGCGUGAGUGAAGAAGUAUUUCGGUAUGUAAAGCUCUAUCAGCAGGGAAGAAAAUGACGGUACCUGACUAAGAAGCCCCGGCUAACUACGUGCCAGCAGCCGCGGUAAUACGUAGGGGGCAAGCGUUAUCCGGAUUUACUGGGUGUAAAGGGAGCGUAGACGGCGAAGCAAGUCUGAAGUGAAAACCCAGGGCUCAACCCUGGGACUGCUUUGGAAACUGUUUUGCUAGAGUGUCGGAGAGGUAAGUGGAAUUCCUAGUGUAGCGGAGAAAUGCGUAGAUAUUAGGAGGAACACCAGGGGAGAAGGCGGCUUACUGGACGAUAACUGACGUUGAGGCUCGAAAGCGUGGGGAGCAAACAGG